This 498-nucleotide ribosomal RNA is filed under the name uncultured bacterium. Its description in RNAcentral is "partial 16S ribosomal RNA". It matches the Rfam family "Bacterial small subunit ribosomal RNA", at positions 28 to 507 of the family's 1533-position model. The record is from RNAcentral.
GAUGAACGCUGGCGGCGUGCCUAAUACAUGCAAGUCGAGCGAACAAGCGUGGUACUUGCACCUUCUGGAUUAGCAGCGGACGGGUGAGUAACGCGUAGGGAACCUGCCUUUAAGCGUGGGAUAACAUCGGGAAACCGAAGCUAAUACCGGAUAAUAAUUUUAACCACAAGGUUUGAUAGUGAAAGAUGCCUUUGCUUUCCUUAAUGAAUGUACCUGCGGCGUAUUACUUAGUUGGUAAGGAAAAGGCUUACCAAGGCAAUGAUACUGAGCCGACCUGGAAGGGUGGUCGGCCAAAAUGGGACUGGGAAAAGGCCCAAACUCCUAAGGGGAGCAGCAGGAGGGAAACUUCGGCAAUGGACGAAAGUCUGAACGAGCAACGCCGCGGGGGGGGAGAAGGGUUUCGGAUCGGAAAAAUCGGUUGGUAGGGAAGAAAGUUGGUGGGAGUGGAAAGCGCAUGAAGUGACGGUAACUACUCAGAAAGCGACGGCUAACUACGUG